CGAAGGGGCUAGCGUUGUUCGGAAUUACUGGGGCGUAAAGGGCGCGUAGGCGGUACUUCAAGUCAGGCGUGAAAGCCCCGGGCUCAACCUGGGAACCGCGCUUGAGACUGGAGAACUAGAGUUCGGGAGAGGAUGGUGGAAUUCCCAGUGUAGAGGUGAAAUUCGUAGAUAUUGGGAAGAACACCGAUGGCGAAGGCAGCCAUCUGGACCGACACUGACGCUGAGGCGCGAAAGCGUGGGGAGCAAACAGGAUU
This 254-nucleotide ribosomal RNA is filed under the name uncultured bacterium. Its description in RNAcentral is "partial 16S ribosomal RNA". It matches the Rfam family "Bacterial small subunit ribosomal RNA", at positions 527 to 779 of the family's 1533-position model. The record is from RNAcentral.